Molecule: unclassified non-coding RNA, 2737 nt
Filed under: Dimorphilus gyrociliatus
Lineage: Eukaryota; Metazoa; Annelida; Polychaeta; Dinophilidae
Description: dgyrCDS10132
Source: RNAcentral
AUAGCAGCCAAUGACGUCAUAGAAAGUAUACACCAACGUUCGAACAUAUGAAAAUACCAUGUUUGUUUCAUCAGUAAUUGAAUAAUUCGUGAAUAGGUGGGUAUAAUAGAAUUUUACAUUGAUCAGAAAGACUUAGUCUUGUUGGAGACAUCAUCAGUGUUGUGCGAUUGUAGAGACAGGACGGUUGAAACUGAUCAAGAUUUAGCAGACAGGAUAAAUCGAAUAGCUUUACAAGACUCAUCAAAAAGGAUUAGGAAGACAAUUAACAAUAAGAGUCAAUUAUUAAGUAAGGAGGAAGGGAUGGGACUUACUUAUCUCAACACGGAACCGAAUUUAAAGGUGCUCAUCGUUGCGAACGUUCACAAAGCAGUUUUUACAAAUGCUAAGAUAAAGGCCCAUUUUGAAGAACUCUUCAAACUUUAUUCAAAGGAAACAAGAUUCGAUUAUCUUCCUAGUUUAAGCCGAGUUCGUGUGGAGUAUGACUCUGAAAAAAAUGCUGAAGUCGCUAAAAAUGCUUACAAUAAACAAAAUGUUCUUGGAAAUGUUGUUCAAGUUUUCUACGCCAAAGUAGCCGUUACUAUUGAUAGAGGAGGAGGGAAUUUCUUACAAGUGCCUGAACGUGAACGAAACUUUCUCAUAUCACCACCAGCUUCACCGCCAGUCGAUUGGGAGCCUAUACCUGAAACACAUCCUAAUAUAGAUUAUGAUUUAUUGGCGGCUGUCGCAAACUUAGCUCCAGGGACAGAGCACGAAUUGAUUCCAGCAACUGGAAAUCAUCCAGGCAUCAUUGUACACAUCAGCGAAAAUCCUGACGGUUUCACCAAUUCGGAUAGGCCUAAAAUCAUACAAACUAGACGACCUCAAUUUAAUGAAUAAAACGAUGAAUAUACAUACAGUAUAUGUAUAUAUCUAGUUUUAUUAUAUAUUUAUUUUUCUAUAAAAAAAAAACUAGUCGUGUUUUCUUAUUUUUUGUUUAGUUUAUUUUUUUAAUUUUUGUUUGUAGUCUGUUUUAUUUGAGUGUGCUUAAAAUAAUUGUAGUAGUAUUUCCUUUUGUCGUUGCAAUAUAAAAAAUUUAUUUAGCACUUUGCCAGUAAAUUUUAUUAUAGUCAGCACCGACAAUAAAGCGGGGAAUGAAAUUCUGCUAUACUAUUUGAUAAGAUACCUAUUAUUAUAUAAUAUAUUGAUAUCGUAUAUGUAUAUACUAUAUAUUAUAUAAUAUAGGAUAUAGUACCACCUAUACAUAUUUCAUAAAGAUAACUAUUAGAGGUGAAAAACACCAUGAUUGUAUUCGUUAUCAUCUAGGUUAUUGUCAUGAAUGGUGUGACACUGAUAUACAAAAUACUUCCUAUCUUUCGUAAUCAAUGUCAAUUAAACUUGAAUUUUAACCAUGUGUUAUGAUUUUUCAAAAAACAAUUUAAAAUCAGACAAAAAUAAAAUCCAAUUACAUGUAAUUAAUUAUGUAUAUAUUCAGAUAAAAACCGAAGUAGACCAAUUUAACGCUUUUAAAUGAAUACAAAAUGAAAUGUAUUGAUAAGCUUUAACUGUAUUUCUUUCGAUAGAAUUAUAUAAUUUUAAUUAGUUUCUUGUUUUUCGAUCUCUUAGUAUUAACGUCACUAUUAUUAAAUACCGACAAAAAAAAUUCAAUAGAUAGGGUUGCAUUUUCCUAUCCAUUGCAGUACACUGUUAAAGAUAUAUAUAGUAUAAAUGUCUAUAUAUAUAUAUAUAGGGAAAAAAUCAUUAUGUGUGGCAUUACCGGAGGCUACCUUUGGAGAAGUUUAUAUAUAUAUUUUGAAAUUAACCGUGAUAAAAUUGUUGUCAUGAACGAAGCUUUUAAAAAGAGAAGCAAAAAAAAACAAAAAAAUUUUCCCUCAUCUUCACUCACAUAUACUUUUAUAAAAACAAAUUAUGAUAGCUUUUAUUCUCCCUCUCGUACUCCUUAUUGGAAAAGUACUGUCAAACAAUACAACAUUUAAAGAAUCUCUAGAGAAUGCUUCAUUGACUACGGGACGAUUGGAUGUCGCGACGCCGAUUAAACACUUUGAGGAUGGCGUCACUUGCGUUUAUAAAAUCAAUAAGGAAAAGAUUCGUAUUUGCGAAAGGAAUAUAUUUGGUGCCAGAAUUUGCAAGGAAUUAUAUAAUGAAAUUGACCUUAGUGCCGAAUGGAGAGGUAGAGAUGAUGGAAAAGAGGAGUUAUACAAUAAUUUAACAUUCAAAAUCUUUUAUUGUCCUUAUGAUGGUCUACCCUAUCAGUAUAAAUGUUGUGAUCAUCGGAUAAAAAAGAUGGGCUGUUGCUCGAAAACUGAAUUAUUCGGUUUAUCAGAUUUUAAUAGAAUCAUUUGGAUUGCUUCUCUAGGAGUUUCUUUCAUUUCAAUAAGCCUUUGCUUACUUGGGGGUUAAUUUGUUUUUUCUCUUUAUUUAUACUAUGCCUCCUCCCCCCUUCUCUUUAUUUUAUCUCUAAUCUAUAUUCUCUAUUGAUUUCAGUCGUCUCUAUUUAUCGAUGUUGUAAAAAGAAGAAAAUUUUUACAGAGCCUAAAGAUGAAUUUUAUCACACUCUAAUCAAUUCUAGUUAUACGAAUUUUCCAAUUUCAGAGCCAGACUCUAAUUACAAUUACGGAAUUCCAAAAGUAGAAGUGAAACGUUCUACACGAAUUGUCUAAAAAAUGAAAAAAGCUAUUAUCACCUAAUUUAAACGCGAUAGAAGCCUUAACGAAUGAUUAAUAAUUUUAAAGUUAUCUUG